AAUCCAUCGUUUGUGGUAUUACUCUGUAGUAGGAUAGUAUUCUGUAGGAACUUUAGAUCUAUUUUUUAAAACUAUUAAAAUUAUUCUACAGUAGGGGUGGGCAAAUUUGCCACUAAGUUUCCCAUUUUUUCAAUCUGAAAUUCAGUUCUCAAAUUGCUGUGAAAAUGUGGAGGGUGUCAUGAAAAUUCAUUAGCAUUUUGUGCAAAUUUCUCCUAAUAAGCACCUCUUUGUAUGUAGUUUUGACUAAUACACUUUUUUUUUUGCAAGAAUUUCCCCCUGACUGAAUGCAUUUUCCUAUGUUGUAUGUGCAUUUUGUGAACCUAUCCCCUUAAAUACAUGAAGUUUUGUAUGUAUUUUUUGGUUGGUGAACUGCUAUCGCCCACUUGUGGAUCGUGAGCCACCAGUUGUAGGCCAGUGGCCCAGAUGAUCAAAAGAUGUGCAUCUCAGCAUAAAGCAAACUUUGAAUGUUGCUUUAGACGUGGGAUGAAGAACCUUUGUCCUUCCAGAUGUUGUUGAAUUCCAGCUUCCAUCAGCAGCAGCCGGCAUGGUUGAUGGUCAGGGAUAAUAGGAUCUGUAGUCCUAGAACAUUUAGAGGGCCACAGGUUACCCAGCCUUGCUUUAGGCAAAAGAGUGGAAGUUAUAAAUGCUUUGAGAUUUUAUUUUUACCAUUUAGAUUUUUUUCCUUUUUUACUGACACCUUAUGCCAUGUUUUCCCAAAAUGGCGUUCAAUGAUUUAGGGAUAACCACCACACUGUACUGUCCACUGCUCUUUCCAUGUGGACUGGCUCAAGAAUUCUAGGAUAAAAAAAACACCCCCCAAAAAACCUCAUAUAGUACAGCUGUUAAUUCAUAGCAUUACCUGGAUGCAGAAUUUCAUUGCCAGAAACUGCUCGAUGCUACUCUGACAAAAACCACAGGAGGGCAGUAGAAGAUUUGGUUUAGCUGAAUGCCAUUCCAGUGGUCCCUAUCUGUGUAUUUUAAUCAGUUGGCAUCCCUCCCACUGAACUCUUAUCAUGUCAGGAAGUAAAAAUUUGACACUGAUGCAGAAAGGGGAUUUGAUUUUCAGUUCUGUGUGGUACUUCAUGCAUUUUCUUCAUACUUUUGUUGGCUUAGCUUAUCACUAGUGCGUGGCAAAUGAACAUUACCAGUUCCAUCCUUCGUACUAUUCACCGGCUAAAGCAGAAAGCUGGGCAUAGAAACAAUUGCUACAGGGUGUCCAAGGUCAAGGCUUGAUCUUCUCAGGAAUACAAAUGGCUAUAAAGCAUUUUACGCUAAUCAGAGACUAUCUUAUAUUUAUUUAUUUUUUCCUUCUAGUGGCCUGUUACACUCAUUUCUUUUGAAGAUGAUUUACUCAGGGGCAGCUGAAGCUCAAUGCAACCCCAAAUUCCCCAAUAGUAUCAUAGGGGAUGGGCCUCGCUGUUAGCAGUGCAAGAGCAGUACAGCUUCUCCUCCCAUCCUCCAAAGCUGUAGAAGUGACAGUAGCAGUAACUGUGUUGGCAGCCUCCCUCCUCCCUUUUAGCAUCCUUCCAUGAUAAACUAGGCCUAGCACCACCCUGGGACACUGUGGGGGAGAGAAUGGUAGCUGCUUCAAAAUCAAAUUUAGAUAACAUUCUGCAAAACUGCCAUUACCUGUAGUGACCUCUUGUCAGCCAUCACAAUAUAGUUUUACCCUGACUUGGGAAUGUACAGCUUGUGACCCAACAAGCUGAUCACAGCCCACCUGUCAUGUGCCGUUGCUUCACCAGCUCAUCAAUCCUGCCAAAAAAGGGAGGCUUCUCAAACCACAAGCAGGCCACCAUAACUAGCUGGUGGACUGAAUUUGGCAUAGCCAUGAACAAGGGAAAGGGUUCUAGCUCAUAACUCUCGUAAUUUGCAUGACCUCACCCUGGGAUCCUGGAGAGUAACUGCUCGUGUCAGUAAACAGUACUGGGCCAGAUGGACCAAGGAGCGAUCUCAAGGCUAGUGAUGCUUGAGGAAUUCAGUUUCUGUGAAAGCCAGUGCAAACUUUCCUGAUCUGCACCUUUUGGAUUGUAAGGCUUGGAACAUAAUUGUCCUUCAGAAUUGCAGCUCUCUGAAUUUUGCAGUAUAGUUUUCAGCUGUGUGUACAGUGGUACCUUGAUUUGCAACCGUUCUGGAUUACAAAUGUUUUGGAUUACAACCACAUCAAACCCUGAACUGUGUGUCCCUUUUUUUGGAUUACAACCCAUUUUUUUUGGAUUACAAUCUUAUUUUUUUUUGGAGGCCCCAUUGGUGAAAGCGUGCCUUGAGUUACAACCUAUUUUGGUUUACAACUGAAUCUCCAGAAUGGAUUAUGGUUGUAAACCAAGGUGUUGACCUUUAAAGCCCUAAACGGCCUCGGCCCAGUAUACCUGAAGGAGCGUCUCCACCCCCAUCGUUCUGCCCGGACGCUGAGGUCCAGCGCCGAGGGCCUUCUGGUGGUUCCCUCAUUGCGAGAAGCAAAGCUACAGGGAACCAGGCAGAGGGCCUUCUCGGUAGUGGCGCCCGCCCUGUGGAACGCCCCUCCCAUCAGAUGUCAAAGCAAUAAAUAACUACCUGACAUUUAGAGGGCAUCUUAAGGCAGCCCUGUUCAGGGAAGCUUUUAAUCUGUGAUAUUUUACUGUAUUUUUUGUUUCUAUGGAAGCCGCCCAGAGUGGCUGGGGAAACCCAGCCAGAUGGGCGGGGUACAAAUAAUAAAUUAUUAUUAUUAUUAUUAUUAUUAUCACUGUAUAUAUAUAUAUAGAGAGAGAGAGAGAGAGAAAUGCAUUCAUUGUGAUAAAAUAUGUAUUUAAAUAUGUGUUUUGUGGUAAAAUACACACUUAACUUUGAACUUUAAUGCAGAUUUUAAAAAAUGCAGACUAAUCAGAACUAGGAUGGAAUGGAAUGGAUCCAUGCCAAAUGGAGCAGAUGUAGACAGACACAUCCAUUCCUACUAAGUGGGAGGCACUACUAUAUACUCAGGUUGUGCAGGGCUUCUCUUCUUUACAACUGAGCAGGGCUGGCCCAAGAUAUUUGCUGUCUGAGGGGAAGGACAAAAUGGUGCCCCUGCAUCCCAUAUACAGGGCUGGCAUUUGAACUUUGUUUCAGUUCUGACAAUGGGGUAGCAUCCUCCACUCAUAUCUGAGGGGGUUCAGGGCAGGCUUGGUGGCAGACACAGCUGUGUCACCCAAGAGAGAUGCAUGGUUGUUGGGCUCAGGAGGGGAGCUUCACCUGCUGUCUGAGGCAGUUGCUGAGCUGUGGCAAAUGAUAGGACUGGCCCUUCAUAUACAUUUCAAGAAGCCUUCAUGAAACAACACCCUGCUACAUGAACCCCAAAGCAAACGUGAUUUAAAAUAAGUUUAAAUGUGUGUGUUGUUUGGAAGAUGUAAAAAAAAAAAGUGGAUGUAAAAAAAAGGGGAAAGUCUGGCUGAUAGUAUCGUGAGCAAAGGCCACAGUGGCCAGUUAUGGCUUCUGCCUCGGUUCCUAAUAUUAUGCGUGAACUUACAAUUCCCAAAGAGAUCCUGUUGAGCUCAACAGGAUUUACAAUAGUCUAUGUGGAUUCAGGAUUGCUGGCGAUAAGAAGGAUGUCUGCAAUUAAGGUCAGACUUUUGAAAAGAUACGAGCAAGUGAAGAAUAUUAAUACUACCCAUAAUCUCUGCUGGCUCCAUGCCUGGCCAUUAACUUUGUUUAUUUUCCAACACCAUUGCCUUGUGCUGAUGCUUGAAGCAAACAUCAGUGACAAAUGAUCCUCUUAAGCAAGUGCAAGUGGCUGGAGGCAGCGCUGGGGGCUAGGAACACAAAGUGGACUCGCACCAAAAUGCCUUUUCCUCCUGCCCUCUGUGCCACUGGUAUCGCUAGAAGGCUCAUCCAUUUCAGCUAGCAACAGCAACACUAGAAAGACCUGGCCCACAGAGGGCAAGGAGCCUCUGCCUCGGCAUCAAGCAAUAACAGCUGACAGAAGGCAAAUGCAUUUAACAUAUGAUCAUGAGCUAAAAUCUGCCAACCACCUUUGCUUCCUUUAGGGAGCUCCACAUGCCUAUCACCCAAAUUAUUUUUCCUAAAAGCAGUGGGGCAAAUGUUCCAAACAAAGCUUUUUGUCGUUGCUUCCAGAUUUAAUGACCAUUCAUUCUUAUUUGUUUGUGCAGUUUGUGGGCAGGCUAUACAUUAUUGGCUGGCAAUCGAGCAUAUGUUUUGAUUUCUUUGUGGGAAGAUUAUGCUAUGUCAUGAAAAGCAGUUGCUAUCCCAUACUUGCAGGAAAGUUUUCCCAGUACAUUUUGGGGGAAGGGCUGUAGCUCAGUGAUAGAGUAUCAGUUUUCCCAAGCUCAAACUAUGGUGUUUCCAGGUAGGGCUGGGAGGCAGACAAUGCCUGAACACCUGAAGAACCUUUGCCAGUCAGUGUGAACAAUUACUGUCAUAGAUAGACUAAUGGUCUGACUCAGUAUAAGGCAACUUCCUAUGUGCCCCUCACUUUCCUUACUGCAAACAGUCCAUUUUGUGUGUGGAAGUGCAGCCUUAAUUUGCUAGUAUGACACUGAAUCUCACUGGAUUUUUUUUUUAAGUGCCCUGAGACUCAUACUGGGAGGGCAUAUGGCAAUUAUUGUUAGACAGUUGCUAAGGGGCAACCAGGAAUAGGGCUUUAUUUGUGGUGGCACCUAUCUUAUCAAACAUUCUCUCCUCUGAGCUCUAGCAAGCAUCUCCUUUGAUGUGCUUCUUCUGACAACUGAAGACAACCUUGUUUGCCCAUGCAUCAGCAGACCCUCAAUCACCAGCUCACUCACUUUUUGAGAUUUGUGCGCUGUCUAUUGUACGAUGUAUUUAUUGCUUAUGAAGUUUUAUGAAGUUGUGCACCAAUCACUGCCAGAAAAAUACAACCAGAGAACAUAUUCACCCUGUUCUCCCCCAUGCAGCAGUUCACUUCUCAAUUACUUCCAGAAAAUCAGGAGGACUGGAAGGUAGGGUGUUUUCUGCUGGGCAGGGCUCUGAAAAAUGUGGCUUUCCUGGCUGCAGUCGCCUGAGAGAAACGAGAUUCUGGUAGGCUUCUGUUUAGAACUCUUAAUAAAAGCAAUUCUAUUUGAGGUGAUCAUCUCUCUGCAGCAUUCUUUGUACAGGAUUGUGUUUGCAAAGGGGGAUUGCCACAUUAAAUUCACAUUUAGCGUUGCACACCCUUUUCUUGUUUAUUCUUCCCUGUUCUGAGCUAGAACAUGACUGUUUGCAAUUCAUAUGGGAAUAAAGUGAAGGAUUUCAACAUAUGUAUGAUGCAAGCCACCCUUCUCCCACAAAUAUGGCAUUAAAAGGUCAUGGUAAAUAAUAAGAAAAUUACCUAGCAUUUGCAUGUAGUGUUCCAAGCACCUGCUUACAUUAUUUAUUUGUAAGGAUUACAACAUCACUGUGCUAUUAUCCUCUGUAUUGCAGAUUGUGUGGUAGGGAGUGGACAAAGUCAGAGGGAGGAUGGUUUGACUAAGGCUGUUAAGCGAGUUUGUGCCACAGGUGAGCAGAGCUAGUUCUUAUUACCACAACUCAUACACCAGCAAACAACGAGACAUUACAGAUUCCAAGGUGUUUACAGAACAGAUGUUGCAAAGCCAGCCACUGGUUAAAUCAACUUCAACUCAGUGCUUAUUUGCAUUUAUCUUGAAAGCUACCAGGGGAAGCAGGAUUUUGGAGAAUUGAUUUGCUAUACCGAAGCCACAUGAAUUGACUUCCGUUUUCUAGAGAUGAUGCUUAUGCCAUAAGAAAUUGGUUUGCCUUUAGGGUGCCGCAAAACUCUGUGGUUGUUUUCAUCACUGCAAGACUAUCGCAGCUACUCCCACAUUGGGAAUUUUGAAACUUCUUUUCCCUUUAUCUAAGAAAUGUUCAUAGAAAUAGUCUAAAAAUGAAAGCAUCAGAGAAAUCUCGCCAUCGGUGGAUUCAAAGUCAGGGGACACGGAUGAUGUUAAAUUACUUGGAAAUGGUCGUGUUGAGCUCGUGAAGAGCUGAGCAUUUGGCACCCUGUCCUAAGCGGGGUUUGUUUUUUGUUUUUUGUUUGCAGCACAGUGUGAUCUGUGUCCUUCCUCCUCUCCAUGAUAGGCAGACACCACUCAGCUUCACGGUUCCUGUUGAGAGAUACAGCCAAGCGUCUGCCCUGGGAGCCGAAGCCAAUUGGAAUCCUGGCAGGGUGUCAGGAAGGCCCAAGGGAUAGAACACAGCGCCUUCCAUCUCUCUCUGUGUCUAUCCCUUUAGUGUUCCAGCAAAGGGGAAGUGAGAAGGUGAGAGGGUGUUUGAAUCAGGUGUUUCGUGUGUGUGUCUCUGUCUGUGUGCAAAUAGAUUUUUCUUCUCUUCUCUUCUCUUCUUAGGAACGGAAGAUAGAUGUUGAAUUAUACUCUUAGGCUCCGAAAAGAUUAAUCAUUUUGUUACUGAAAGGUCAACACUCAGCAAUUGAGCCCAGAAUGAGCCUGCCUCCUCAAAGCAACAAUAAAAGAUAGCAAAGCGGUGGGUGGCGUGAACUUGGGUGGCACCCCCCACCCCCAAAAAGUAGAUGGGAUGCUGCCAGGUCCCCUGAGUCAUUUGUUAAAGUUUUAUUCGGUGGAAUGAAUUAGGGUGUCUGUUUUCUCUUUAAUACAAAAAUGGCCUUCAGGGAAGAAUGGGCUUUAAAUUCCUAACAUCUGAAAUACUAAUAGCAAACUCAUUUCCUGAAGGCAAGUCCUUAUAUUGACCAACUGGCCCCAUUAAUGCACAGCAGGAUGGUACUGACAGAUUUGGAGUUAUCCUGUAGUUUGCAAAACAAAAAAAUCCUUAUGUAAAAAACACUUAAGGGGUGUGUGUGUGUGUGUGUGUGUGUGUGUGUGUGUGUAAAAGCAGCCCAAUGAAGACAGCAUGCUCAGUGGUCAUGGAAUUUUAGUUGACUGUUGUAGGGGAGAAACAACUAGAAAAACAGGGGAGUGGAAGAGACAAUAGCUGGCUGGCAGCAACCCUGAAGAGGAGUAUUCCACAGGCAACAUUUUCAGGCACUUCUCACUAGUUCCCUAUAUUUCCAAUGAUCAUGGGUGAGUGUGGAUACUUAUGCAACACAAAUGGAAUUAUGGUGCGCAGGGUGAAAAUAUUGGAAGGGCUGGGUGAAUCCAAAGGUUUCAGAAAUACAAAAAAUUAGGAAAAAAGAGGGGGCUCCCAAAAGAAUUCAAUGAAGACUGAACACCUAUGAAGACUGAAUGCUGACUGAUGGUUGGAAAGGUAGCCAGAAAACUAUGGGUGGAAUGAAAUGUAGUAUCUUGGAAGAAAGCAUGGCUGGGUAGCUGGCUGGCUUGAACCUUGAAUAGGAGCACUUCACACUGCAACACUUUGUUACUGUUCUUGUUCUGUGUAUCAAUAGCCAUUAGAUAAAUUAUUUCUUGGAAAAGCAGUGUUAUGCUUGUUUGCCCAGGUACACAAUUUCCCCAGAUGUCUGUCUAAGUAAGUUAAGAAUUUCUUAUCUGGAUGAAAACAAAGAACUCCAUUAUAUAGGAAACCUAGGAUAUGUUUGAUUAAAAAUUGUCUAUUGGGUGCCAAAAGCUAAGAACCUUUAGUUUUAACUUUGGGGUUUCUUUCAAGGGAAAAGGGAGAAGUCUUGCUGGUUGAUAAUACUUUCCCAUAAAGGCAGACCUGACUCCACCUAUGAGGUUUUCAUUCUGGGACUGGACCAGGAAAACGUAAAUGUUCAGGCAAAUAACUGAAGCUCCAAACGAAACCUGCCCAGUUAUUUCUGCCUGCAUCAUGCAACCACAUUCUCCACUAACAGUUUCAUGUAGAUUCAUUAUAGAGAUUCAGUUAUGUAGAAAUGAUUAUUGACUGUUUAUCCUGUUCCAGUCUGGGGCCUAGUGGGAGGUCAAAGCUCAGCAGAAGUCUAGAACUAGUUUGCAGGAGAUCAGGACCAUGGUCAGCUCACUGUGGAACCAAGUAUACAGUGGUGCCUCGCAAGACGAAAUUAAUCCGUUCCGCGAGUGUCUUCGUCUAGCGGUUUUUUCGUCUUGCGAAGCAACCCUAUUAGCGGCUUAACGGAUUAGCGCUAUUAGCGGUUUAGCGGCUAUUAAAGGCUUAAAGGCUUAGCGGAUUAGCUGCUAAAAGGCUAUUAAAGGCUAUUAAAGGCUUAGCGGAUUAGAUAAAGGGG
Molecule: non-coding RNA, 8095 nt
Organism: Podarcis lilfordi (Lilford's wall lizard)
Lineage: Eukaryota; Metazoa; Chordata; Lepidosauria; Squamata; Lacertidae
Source: the annotation of a GenBank genome assembly